This 114-nucleotide ribosomal RNA is filed under the name Zingiber officinale. Lineage: Eukaryota; Viridiplantae; Streptophyta; Magnoliopsida; Zingiberales; Zingiberaceae. The record is from RNAcentral.
GCGAUCAUACCAGCACUAAUGCACUGGAUCCCAUCAGAACUCCGAAGUUAACCGUGCUUGGGCGAGAGCAGUACUAGGAUGGGUGACCCCCUGGGAAGUCCUCGUGUUGCACCU